Molecule: transfer RNA, 85 nt
Organism: Felis catus (domestic cat)
Lineage: Eukaryota; Metazoa; Chordata; Mammalia; Carnivora; Felidae
Rfam family: tRNA
About the family: Transfer RNA (tRNA) molecules are approximately 80 nucleotides in length. Their secondary structure includes four short double-helical elements and three loops (D, anti-codon, and T loops). Further hydrogen bonds mediate the characteristic L-shaped molecular structure. tRNAs have two regions of fundamental functional importance: the anti-codon, which is responsible for specific mRNA codon recognition, and the 3' end, to which the tRNAs corresponding amino acid is attached (by aminoacyl-tRNA synthetases). tRNAs cope with the degeneracy of the genetic code in two manners: having more than one tRNA (with a specific anti-codon) for a particular amino acid; and 'wobble' base-pairing, i.e. permitting non-standard base-pairing at the 3rd anti-codon position.
Source: Rfam
GCCUGGGUGGCUUAGUAAGUUAAGCAUCUGACUUCGGCUCAGGUCGUGAUCUCACAGCUUGUGGGUUUGAGCCCCACGUCGGGCC